Peromyscus californicus insignis is the source of this 2209-nucleotide long non-coding RNA. RefSeq lists it as uncharacterized. NCBI's taxonomy places the organism in Eukaryota, Metazoa, Chordata, Mammalia, Rodentia, Cricetidae. The record is from RefSeq and is a predicted model, not a curated record. The transcript is spliced from 3 exons.
GCCCGAAGUAACAGCCUCCUCCUCGGACAGUGUUGGCCUUGCAGCCCUCCUGAGCCAUGGGAUCACUCCACAGAAUAUCUACAACCUAGGAAGACCAAGGAUGUGAUCACGAUGACUGGAAGGAACUCAAGCAGCCAUCUUGGAUCAUGAUGCACUGUGGCAGAUCAGCAAGAAUUCCAAGUUCCUAAGACUGCAGCGAUGUUGCUACAGACCUUCGUUUACACAAGAGAUCAAUAUUUAACAGAGACCUUUGGACCUUUCUGUCACCUCAGCCAAAGAGGUUUGCAGGGUGAGCAAGACCUAUCCGCUGGACCAGUUCACAACCCGUCGUGUGCAUCUGUCUCGGCUGGAGUGUGGCUUUUGUCCUCAUGGAUGCUGCUGAGCAAAUGGAGAAGCCUGGCUGCUGGGGUUCUCCACGGGAGACGUGUGUAUGGAUGGAAAUAAUAAUGAUAUAAGCCUUGAAACUUGCUCGAGAACCGAGAAAUAAAAUGUCUGCUCACACAAAAGGCUGGGUGGUGCUGUGGGAUGUUCUGUAUGGCAAAUAUGUUGCUCUGAUUGGUCAAUAAAUAAAACACUGAUUGGCCAUUGGCUAGGCAGGAAGUGUAGGCGGGACAAGGAGGAGAAUAAAGCUGGCAAGUGGAAGGCUGAGUCAGAGAGACACUGCCAGCCGCCAUGAUGAGAAACAGCAUGUGAAGAUGCCGGUAAGCCACGAGCCAUGUGGCAAGAUAUAGAUGAAUGGAAAUGGAUUAAUUUAAGCUGCAAGAACAGUUAGCAAGAAGCCUGCUGUGGCCAUACAGUUUUUAACCAAUAUAAGUCUCUGUGUUUACUUGGUUGGGUUUGAGUGGCUGUGGGACUGGCGGGUGAGAGAGAUUUGUCCUGACUGUGGGCCAGGCAGGAAAACUCUAGCUACAAAUGGCGUCCAACGUGGUGGCAAGAGUUUCCACCUAAAAACUGAGAAAAAAGAUUCUAAAACGGAGCUAAAAACAGUUCCUGUCUCUCUCAAAUGAGCGGCAGCUGCUGGUUUGAGCUACUUGAGGGUUCCUAGCGCAUGCCCUAUGGCGGGAAUGAGGCCUCUGCAAGUGGCACAUUAAGCUGCGUGUGGUAGAUUUAGCCUUUGCUAGUACAAAACAAAAAAAAAGAGGUUUCUGGGCUACACACUGCUUGGAUAAAAGCAUAGACCCACGAUAGCUCCCAGAGCUGGCGGUAAACCACGGCCAUGUUGGGAAGCUGAGGUGGGCGGAGCCAGCAGCCACAGCUGCUGCAGCUUAAAGCAAUAGAUUCACAAUAAGACAGAUUCAGAUGUAAUAGUUUACAAUGUGAGUAAAAUAUACAUAGGCUUGAAAGAGACAAAAAAGGUGAUAUAUACAGUUAUAGAAACAAAUACAUAGUUUAAAAAAAUAGUCUUUAAAGAGACAGUAAAAUUAAUAUAAAAAAUAAGCCACGUGAAGAUGAAUAUUACACAGAGAAUCUGGAUUGUGUUCUCUUUGGGAUUUUUAACUGCAGAAAAACGUUUGAUCGUAAAAGAUGUUGAGUUAAACCAAUAUGUGUAUUUUGAAGAUACCUUGACUUCAAAAUUUGGAUAUAAGGACAUGUUGCUUUGGAAAAGAGUCUCUGCUUUUGUUUCCACAGAAAGCAAGAGGCUAUGGAUUUGUUCCAGAUUAAGAUACAUCAGGUUUGACCAGCCAAGACCCCCUGAAAGGUCUCUGAUGACACCAUGGCCCACAUGAUCCAACAUCCAGAAUGGUUUAAAGGCAACUGGCUCAGACGAUACAGCCUCACGGACUACUCCAUAAUCCUAAAAUUUUCUUUGUGUCCCCAUAAGAUACAGCGCCCCCCUCCAGCAGGAAGUAGUAAGAGAAGCUACGCCCAAAUUCCCAAAUUAUAUGUAAUUUUACUUUGUUAAGGUUAAAACCUUCCUUUUUGAAAAAAAAAAAAGGGGGGGGGAAAUGCUGUGGGAUGUUCUGUAUGGCAAAUGUGUUGCUCUGAUUGGUCAAUAAAUAAAACACUGAUUGGCCAUUGGCUAGGCAGGAAGUGUAGGCGGGGCAAGGAGGAGAAUAAAGCUGGCAAGUGGAAGGCUGAGGCAGAGAGACACUGCCAGCCGCCACGAUGAGAAACAGCAUGUGAAGAUGCCGGUAAGCCACGAGCCAUGUGGCAAGGUAUAGAUUCAUGGAAAUGGAUUAAUUUAAGCUGUAAGAACAGUUAGCAAGAA